Drosophila melanogaster (fruit fly) is the source of this 2106-nucleotide non-coding RNA. The record is from Ensembl. NCBI's taxonomy places the organism in Eukaryota, Metazoa, Arthropoda, Insecta, Diptera, Drosophilidae.
UCAGGGCUGUCCUCACAUAUAGAUUAAAUGUUAUCUUAGCUUUGCUGAGCGCCUUUAUGGAUGCUUGACUAUCAGAUUAAACUCCGCACAGCGUCCAAUACCACAGACUUCAGCUUCAAAAAUACUGGUGUAUCUGCCCAUUGAUUCGUGGUAUUUCAACCUGGGGCCUACAACCCCCAGCCCACUUCCUUCGUUGGUGAGGGAUCCGUCUGUAUACCACUUUAUUGUUUGUGGUUUCAUAGGGUGUACUUUCCCCAGGGUUGUCCAACUGUUUUUAUUACUGAAAUGAGUGCUGAAGUUCUGAGCGAACCUGUGCUCAGCUGGCAUCUCAUCCCUUUGUUGCAUUAGCAAAGGGAUAUCCCGUUUUAGGUUUUCAGCAUCCUUACUUGUGAGGUUGCAGCCAUUUCCUGCUCCCUCAAUUCUUAUUAGGGUGGCUUUCCUCUUCAUUUCAAUGACGAUAUGAAUCGGCGUCACCUCCAUAAGUACUUCUAGGGCUGCAGUGGGACAGGUACGCAUUGCUCCUGUCAUGCAUACGCAGGUCAUGCAUUUGCAGCUUAUGGAGUUUCACCUUAGUGGUGCUAAGGCGUGCUCUAUCACCCCAGGCCCCUUAAGUUAGUAUGGGUCUGACUACCAUGAGGUACAGCCAUCUUAUUAUGCGUGGAUGGGUUCCCCACGACUUACCAGCAAUGUUUCUACACGUGAAAAGUGCUCUGGUGUACUUAUCAAUUGUGUUAUCGACAUGAGUUUUGAAUCUAAGUUUGGAGUCAAGGGUUAUCCCAAGAUACUUAACUUCUUGGCUGGCCUCUAUGGGACAUUCUGACAGGGUUAUUGCCUUCAUUCUCUGUAGCUUGUACCUAUUUGUGAAAGGAACAAUAACAGUUUUGCUAGGAUUAAGGCUCAGGCAUACUUUCUUGCACCAUUCGCUGGUUAUAUUGAGGCCCAGUUGAAUAAUAUCGCAGAGUGCUUCCUCAUAUUUACCUCUAGCUAUAAUGACAAUAUCGUCAGCAUAGCCUUGGCAAAGUAUACCCCUGCGGGUCAGUCUGUCCAGCAACUCUUUUACCAGCAAGCUCCACAGGAGAGGCGAGAGGACACCCCCUUGGGGGCAACGCCUUGUGGUAGAUACUGUGGACGACUGUCCUCCUAUAGUGGCCAUGGCUCGCCUAGAUGCCAGUAGUGAUUUGAUCCAUCUGCUGAUUGUCGUAUCUAGUCCUCUUCUUGCCAGGGAUGCGUUGACAGCCUCAUGGGAGGCAUUGUCGAAAGCACCCUGUAUGUCUAAGAAGGCACAUAACGCCACUUCCUUAUGAGUCAGUGAAUCCUCAAUAUGGCUUUUCAAGCUCUACAAGCAGAGUGCUUCUAAUGCUGACAUCCACUAGCUUUUCCAACGUUCUUAGCAAAAACGAUGUCAAGCUGAUGGGUCUGAACGACUUCGGAUCUGUGAUGUCUUUCUUUCCAGCUUUCGGAAUGAAGACAACUUUUGCCAAACUCCAGGCAGUAGGUAUGUGUCCCAAAGCUAGGCUGCUGAUCAGUAUUUUCCUGAUCGGCACUGCGAGCUGAUUUAGCGCUCGUUGUAGCAGGAUUGGCUGAAUGCCAUCUGGACCAGGAGAUUUGUAGGGCUGGAAUGUACCAAUUGCCCAUAUUUUGAAUAGGAAGGUGUAUACACACAUAUCGGCUAACCACUGUACCUAUAUGUAUUCAUAAUAUACAAGCACAUUGUAGCACUCCGUUAUUAUGUGUACAUAAACAGUCCAGCCCAAGUGUAUGCGUAAUACGAGCACCCACGUGGGAGCUAACAUAUAUAUAUAAGAUACGCAGAGAAGCGUCGUCUGCAGCGCUGCUCCUCGACCUAGGCUAAGAAAGCUUUGUAAGUAGAUCACGAAGAUAUUCACAAAUUGACUUCGAAUGAAGCGGGACCUUCCUUGCUCCUCAAAUUGAUUAGAAUAAAGAACAUACGGUGCUUGUGAUAAAGACGUAAACAAGUUACCGUUUACUGGUCAUGGAAAAGUACUAGCUCAGCUCGGAGUCUACUUGGGCGUAACUACAAAGACAAAAAUAAAAGUAAAAUCUUCUAAAGAUACCAUCUAUCGUCCGUAGAUGGCAUGCACGAUU